This 253-nucleotide ribosomal RNA is filed under the name uncultured bacterium. RNAcentral describes it as "partial 16S ribosomal RNA". It matches the Rfam family "Bacterial small subunit ribosomal RNA", at positions 524 to 776 of the family's 1533-position model. The record is from RNAcentral.
UACGGGGGGGGCAAGCGUUGUUCGGAAUUACUGGGCGUAAAGGGCGCGUAGGCGGCACGGCAAGUCGGGAGUGAAAGCCCGGGGCUCAACCCCGGAGGGUCUUCCGAAACUGCCGAGCUAGAGUGCGGAAGAGGCAACCGGAAUUCCCAGUGUAGCGGUGAAAUGCGUAGAUAUUGGGAAGAACACCGGUGGCGAAGGCGGCUCUCUGGACCGACACUGACGCUGAGGCGCGAAAGCGUGGGGAGCAAACAGG